GUGCCAGCCGCCGCGGUAAUACAGAGGGUGCAAGCGUUAAUCGGAAUUACUGGGCGUAAAGGGCGCGUAGGUGGUUAUUUAAGUCAGAUGUGAAAUCCCUGGGCUUAACCUAGGAAUUGCAUUUGAAACUAGAUGGCUAGAGUAUGGUAGAGGGAAGUGGAAUUUCCGGUGUAGCGGUGAAAUGCGUAGAUAUCGGAAGGAACACCAGUGGCGAAGGCGACUUCCUGGACCAUUACUGACACUGAGGCGCGAAAGCGUGGGGAGCGAACAGGAUUAGAUACCCCAGUAGUCC
RNAcentral lists this ribosomal RNA (292 nucleotides) under uncultured bacterium. RNAcentral describes it as "partial 16S ribosomal RNA". It matches the Rfam family "Bacterial small subunit ribosomal RNA", at positions 505 to 796 of the family's 1533-position model. The record is from RNAcentral.